This 344-nucleotide long non-coding RNA is filed under the name Brassica napus (rape). Its description in RNAcentral is "long non-coding RNA (BNAP_LNC015707)". Lineage: Eukaryota; Viridiplantae; Streptophyta; Magnoliopsida; Brassicales; Brassicaceae. The record is from RNAcentral.
CUCGUGAAGACCAUAAAUUAGUGAUAUGACAAUGUGUAAGAUAUAUAUGUAUAUGAGAUUAUACGUAGCAAUAACAAGUGUAUGUCUAAAUUGAGCAAUAUAUCUAAGGACGAACAGAUUCUAGAUCCAGAUAUUCUUUUCGAUGCAAUAAAUUUAAUAGAUCCAAACAAACGGAGAAGAAAGAGACCACUAGUAAAAAACAUCGCUACAGCCGCGUGAAUUUUCGUGGGUAUGACCAAAAUUUCGUGGCUAUACGGAGUAGAAACCGCGAAAUGCUACGAAACGUAAAACGUACGUAUAUGAACGUAACAAAAAGAGCGCGUAUCAAAAAUCGUAGCAAAGUG